RNAcentral lists this ribosomal RNA (447 nucleotides) under Triticum aestivum (bread wheat). Its description in RNAcentral is "partial small subunit ribosomal RNA". Lineage: Eukaryota; Viridiplantae; Streptophyta; Magnoliopsida; Poales; Poaceae. The record is from RNAcentral.
AUGUGCAUCCCGACGCCUCUCUUCUCCAUUGAUCCCCCAUCUCCUCAAGGUGAAUCUUCUCCACAGGGUACCCAUCUCCUCUCCAAUGAUCCACCAUCUCCUCUGCUGUUUUUUAUCCCUCGAUUGGUAACCCAAGAACUUGACGGCUCUGGACUGAGAUGUAGACUUCCCGGUGGAACUACCUGUGCGCAGGAGGAUCUGACGACGCCGAACGCAGCCAUGGAGCACCAGGAGCACGCGGAGACGAUGUGGGAGUGGGCGGUCUCCGAGGUUGCUAUUACGGGAUUACCUGAUGUUGCUUCAUGUCUGUUAUAUCUUUCAAUAUUUACAGAAACUUCCAAAACUAACACCAGUUAUUGGUGGUUUACACCGAUAGUUUCCAGACCUUUAUCGCAAGAUGGACGAACUUGGCAUCUCAGCCAGUACUCUACCUCAUCAACAGUUUGA